Y RNA from Callithrix jacchus (white-tufted-ear marmoset), 97 nucleotides. It matches the Rfam family "Y RNA". From Rfam's summary of the family: Y RNAs are components of the Ro ribonucleoprotein particle (Ro RNP), in association with Ro60 and La proteins. The record is from Ensembl. Lineage: Eukaryota; Metazoa; Chordata; Mammalia; Primates; Cebidae.
GGUGCUUAGAAAACAGUAGUGAGACUAAUUGAUCACAACCAGUUACAGAUUUCUUUGUUCUUUCUCCACUCCCACUGCUUCACUUGACUAGCCUUAA